Molecule: RNA transcript, 2265 nt
Organism: Artibeus jamaicensis (Jamaican fruit-eating bat)
Lineage: Eukaryota; Metazoa; Chordata; Mammalia; Chiroptera; Phyllostomidae
Gene: CCDC122
Gene name: coiled-coil domain containing 122
Exons: 2
Source: RefSeq, a predicted model, not a curated record
GGCGGCCCUCCGAGCCUGCUCUUUUCGGCCCUGAGGAGGGAAGAGGAACUAGAACAGGAGCCCAGAAAGGCUUCGAGCCAGAGCCGGCGGUUGAUUGUGGAAGCUCAUAUUAAGAUGGAGCCUGCAUCAAGAAAAAGAAAUAAAAGGCAUCCAAAUUGGAAAGGAAGAAGCAAAACUGUCAUUGUUUGCAGAUGACAUGAUAGUGUAUGUAGAAAUCCUAUAGAAUCCAUCAAAAAACACUCAACCUAAUAAGUGAAUUUGGCAAAACAGUGGGAUACAAAUUCAGUAUUCAAAAAUCAAAGGCAUUUUUGUAUACCAACAAUGAAAUAUCAGAAAAAGAAAUCAGGAAAAAUAUCUCAUUUGAUAUAGCAACAAGAAAAAUAAAGUACCUAGGAGUAAACCUAAUCAAGGAGGUAAAAGACCUAUACUCAGAAAACUAUACAACACUGAAGAAAGAAGUUAUAGAAGACACAAACAAAUGGAAGCAUGUACCAUGUUCAUGGAUUGGAAGAAUUAACAUCAUCAAAAUGUCCAUACUACUUAAAGCAAUUUACAGUUCAAUGCAAUCCCUAUUAAAAUACCCGUAACAUAUUUCACAGAUAUAGAAAAAACAUUUAAAAAAUUUAUAUGGAACCAUAAAGGACCCUGAAUAGCCAAAGCAAUUUUGAGAAAGAAGAACAAAGUAGGAGGGACCACAAGACCUGAUAUCAAACUGUAUUAUAAGUCCACUGUAAUCAAAACAACCUGGUACUGACAUAAGAACAGACAUAUAGGUUAAUGAAACAGAAUACAGAGCCCAGAAAUAAACCCAAGUCUCUAUGGUCAAAUUAAUAUUCAACAAAGGGGGCAGCAAUAUAAAAUGGACUAAAGAUAGCCUCUUCAACAAAUGGUGUUGGGUGAUCUGGACAGCUACAUGCAAAAAAAGAAGAAACUGGAUCACCAGCUUACACCAUACACAAAAAUAAAUUCAAAGUGGAUAAGCCAUGGCUGGUGUGGCUCAGUGGAUUGAACAUGGGACUGCCAACCAAAAGGUCACUGCUUCCAUUUCCAGUCAGGGCACAUGCUUGGGUUGAGGGCCAGGUCCCCAGUGGGGGUGCUCAAGAGGCAACUACAUAUUGAUGUUACUCUCCCUCUCUUUCUCCCUCCCUUCCCCUUUAUAAAAAAUAAAUAAAACCUUUAAAUUCAAGGUAGAUAAAAGACUUAAAUAUAAGUUGUGACACCAUAAAAGUCCUAGAGGAGAACAUAGGAGGAAAAUCUCAGAUAUUCCACACAACAAUAUUUUCACUGAUACAUCCUCUAGAACAUAAAGAAAAGAAUAAACAAAUGGGAUCUUCUCAAAAUAAAAAACUUCUACAUGGCUAAAGAAAACAGCAUUAAAAUGAAGAGAACCAACUGUAUGGGAAAACAUAUUUGCCAAGGAUACCUUGAACAAGGGUUUGAUCUCCAAAAUAUAUAGAGAACUCACACGACUCCACUCCAGGAAGACAAACAACCCAAUUAAAAAAUAGGCAAAGGACUUCAACAGACACUUUUCUAAAGAGGACAUGCAGAAGGCCCAGAGACAUAUGAAAAGGUGCUCACUGUCACUUACCAUCAGAGAGAUGCAAAUUAAAACCACAAUGAGAUACCACUUUACACCACUGAGAAUGGCCAUCAUAAAAGAAUCAACGAACAACAAGUGUUGGAGAAGAUGUGGAAAAAAGGAAACCCUAGUGCUCUGUUGGUGACAAUGCAGACUGGUAUAGGCACUGUGGAAACAGUAUGGAAUUUCCUCAGAAAACUAAAAACGGAACUGCCUUUUGACCCAACAAAUCUACUGCUGGGAUUAUACCCUAAGAACCCUGAGACCCCAAUCCAAAAGAACCUGUGCUCCCCAAUAUUCAUAGCAGCAUGAUUUACAAUAGCCAAGUGCUGGAAGCAUCCUAAGUGUCCAUCAGUAAAUGAGUGGAUCCAAAAACUGUGGUACAUUUAUAUAAUGGAAUACUAUGCAAAAGAUACAAAGAAAGAGCUCCUACCCUUUACAACAGCAUGGGUAGAACUGGAGAGCAUUAUGCUAAGUGAAAUAAGCCAGGCAGUGAAAGACAAAUACCAUAUGACCUCACCUCUAAGUGGAACCUAAUCAACAAAACAAGCAAGCAAGCAAAAUAUAACCAGAGAGAGUGAAAUGAAGAACAAACUGGUAGUAACCAGAGAGGAGCGGGGAAGGGAUAAUGGGUGAAAAAGGGGGGAGGGUUUUCAAGAACAUCUAUAAAGGACACAUGGACA